Podarcis lilfordi (Lilford's wall lizard) is the source of this 79-nucleotide non-coding RNA. Lineage: Eukaryota; Metazoa; Chordata; Lepidosauria; Squamata; Lacertidae. The record is from the annotation of a GenBank genome assembly.
UGUGGGGUAGCUCAGUUGUUAGAGCAUGAAAAUAAGAUUCUCAUCUCAGGGUCAUGGGUUCGAGCCCCACGUUGCACAA